AAAUCCGUCGACUUUAGAAAUCGUGAGGGUUCGGGUCCCUCUAUCCCCAA
RNAcentral lists this transfer RNA (50 nucleotides) under fossil Castanea pollen. RNAcentral describes it as "partial tRNA-Leu". Lineage: Eukaryota; Viridiplantae; Streptophyta; Magnoliopsida; Fagales; Fagaceae. The record is from RNAcentral.